Molecule: ribosomal RNA, 389 nt
Filed under: uncultured bacterium
Lineage: Bacteria
Description: bacterial SSU rRNA
Rfam family: Bacterial small subunit ribosomal RNA
Source: RNAcentral
GGCGACCGGGUGAGUAAUGUAUCGGAACGUACCUUUCAGUGGGGGAUAACGUAGCGAAAGUUACGCUUAAUACCGCAUAUUCUGUGAGCAGGAAAGCAGGGGAUCGCAAGGCCUUGCGCUGAUUGAGCGGCCGAUAUCAGAUUAGCUAGUUGGUGAGGUAAAGGCUCACCAAGGCGACGAUCUGUAGCGGGUCUGAGAGGAUGAUCCGCCACACUGGAACUGAGACCCGGUCCAGACUCCUACGGGAGGCAGCAGUGGGGAAUUUUGGACAAUGGGGGCAACCCUGAUCCAGCCAUGCUGCGUGAGUGAAGAAGGCCUUCGGGUUGUAAAGCUCUUUCGUCCGGGAAGAAAUCGCAUCAGCUAAUACCUGGUGGGAUGACGGUACCGGC